This 460-nucleotide ribosomal RNA is filed under the name uncultured bacterium. Its description in RNAcentral is "partial 16S ribosomal RNA". It matches the Rfam family "Bacterial small subunit ribosomal RNA", at positions 338 to 795 of the family's 1533-position model. The record is from RNAcentral.
CCUACGGGAGGCAGCAGUGAGGAAUAUUGGUCAAUGGACGAGAGCCUGAACCAGCCAAGUAGCGUGAGGGAUGACUGCCCUAUGGGUUGUAAACUUCUUUUAUAUGGGAAUAAAGUGUGCUACGUGUGGGAUUUUGUAUGUACCAUAUGAAUAAGGAUCGGCUAACUCCGUGUCAGCAGCCGCGGUAAUACGGAGGAUCCGAGCGUUAUCCGGAUUUAUUGGGUUUAAAGGGUGCGUAGGUGGAUUGUUAAGUCAGUUGUGAAAGUUUGCGGCUCAAACGUAAAAUUGCAGUUGAAACUGGCAGUCUUGAGUACAGUAGAGGUAGGCGGAAUUCGUGGUGUAGCGGUGAAAUGCUUAGAUAUCACGAAGAACUCCGAUUGCGAAGGCAGCUCGCUGGGCUGUAACUGACGCUGAGGCUCGAAAGUGUGGGGAUCAAACAGGAUUAGAUACCCUAGUAGUC